CGGGUGAGUAACACGUGGGCAAUCUGCCCUGCACUCUGGGAUAAGCCCGGGAAACUGGGUCUAAUACCGGAUACGACACUCCGAGGCAUCUUGGGGUGUGGAAAGUUCCGGCGGUGCAGGAUGAGCCCGCGGCCUAUCAGCUUGUUGGUGGGGUAAUGGCCUACCAAGGCGACGACGGGUAGCCGGCCUGAGAGGGUGACCGGCCACACUGGGACUGAGACACGGCCCAGACUCCUACGGGAGGCAGCAGUGGGGAAUAUUGCACAAUGGGCGAAAGCCUGAUGCAGCGACGCCGCGUGAGGGAUGACGGCCUUCGGGUUGUAAACCUCUUUCAGCAGGGAAGAAGCGAAAGUGACGGUACCUGCAGAAGAAGCACCGGCUAACUACGUGCCAGCAGCCGCGGUAAUACGUAGGGUGCGAGCGUUGUCCGGAAUUAUUGGGCGUAAAGAGCUCGUAGGCGGUUUGUCGCGUCGAUUGUGAAAGCCCGGGGCUUAACCCUGGGUCUGCAGUCGAUACGGGCAGGCUAGAGUUCGGCAGGGGAGACUGGAAUUCCUGGUGUAGCGGUGAAAUGCGCAGAUAUCAGGAGGAACACCGGUGGCGAAGGCGGGUCUCUGGGCCGAUACUGACGCUGAGGAGCGAAAGCGUGGGGAGCGAACAGGAUUAGAUACCCUGGUAGUCCACGCCGUAAACGGUGGGCACUAGGUGUGGGCAACAUUCCACGUUGUCCGUGCCGCAGCUAACGCAUUAAGUGCCCCGCCUGGAGACGCCAACGGG
Molecule: ribosomal RNA, 774 nt
Filed under: Streptomyces albogriseolus
Lineage: Bacteria; Bacillati; Actinomycetota; Actinomycetes; Kitasatosporales; Streptomycetaceae
Also listed under: 1 other name
Description: bacterial SSU rRNA
Rfam family: Bacterial small subunit ribosomal RNA
Source: RNAcentral